Molecule: ribosomal RNA, 788 nt
Filed under: uncultured bacterium
Lineage: Bacteria
Description: bacterial SSU rRNA
Rfam family: Bacterial small subunit ribosomal RNA
Source: RNAcentral
UACGGGGUGCUUAUACUGCAUCUCGAACGGGCAAUACAAAAUUGGCAACACUUUUGUAAAGCUAGUGGCGAACGGGUGAGUAACGCGUAGGUAAUUUACCUUAGAGAUUGGAAUAACCUCCUGAAAGGGAGGCUAAUACCAAAUAUUCCAUUUAUUUUGCAUGAAAAUAAUAGGAAAGGUAUCCUCCUGGCCUCCGCUCUAACAUAAUCCUGCGUCCUAUUAGCUAGUUGGUAAUGUAAAGGCUUACCAAGGCUAUGAUGGGUAGCCGGUUUGAGAGGGUGACCGGCCACACUGGGACUGAGAUACCGCCCAGACUCCUACGGGAGGCAGCAGUAGGGAAUAUUGCGCAAUGGGCGAAAGCCUGACCCCCCGACAUCUUGUGGAGGAUGAAUGUCUUCCGAUCCCAAACUCCUGUCAUUUGGGGACGAACGCUAUAGGGUUAAUAGCCCGAAUGCUGACGGUACCCAAUAAGGAAGUCUCGGCUAACUCCGUGCAACACCCGCGUUAAAACGGAGGAGGCAAGCUUUGUCCGGAAUCAUUGGACGUAAAGAGCGCGUACGCGGUUUUUCAAUUCAUGUCCGAAAACUUCAGGCUUAACCUGAAUACUGCAUAUGACACUGGACAUCUAAAGUACCGCAUAGCAAAGUGGAACUCCUGGUGUAACAGUGAAUUGCGAAGACACCACGACUAACAUCCCUUAGCGAAGCAGCUUCCAGGUCGUUACAGACGCUGACGCGCCUUAGAUUCGGUAGCAAACCGGAUUAGUUAUCCCUGGUUCUCCUAGCCGA